Molecule: ribosomal RNA, 293 nt
Filed under: uncultured bacterium
Lineage: Bacteria
Description: partial 16S ribosomal RNA
Rfam family: Archaeal small subunit ribosomal RNA
Source: RNAcentral
GUGCCAGCAGCCGCGGUAAUACCGGCAGCUCGAGUGAUGGCCGAUUUUAUUGGGCCUAAAGCGUCCGUAGCUGGCCGCGCAAGUCCAUCGGAAAAUCCACCCGCCCAACGGGUGGGCGUCCGGUGGAAACUGUGUGGCUUGGGACCGGAAGGCGCGACGGGUACGUCCGGGGUAGGAGUGAAAUCCCGUAAUCCUGGACGGACCGCCGGUGGCGAAAGCGCCUCGGGAAGACGGACCCGACAGUGAGGGACGAAAGCUGGGGUCUCGAACCGGAUUAGAAACCCCAGUAGUCC